GAGUUUGAUUCUGGCUCAGGAUGAACGCUAGCUACAGGCUUAACACAUGCAAGUCGAGGGGCAGCAUUAUCUUAGCUUGCUAAGAUAGAUGGCGACCGGCGCACGGGUGAGUAACACGUAUCCAACCUUCCGGUUACUCGGGGAUAGGCUUUCGAAAGAAAGAUUAAUACCCGAUGUUGCGUAUCUUUCUCCUGAAAGAUACGCCAAAGGAUUCCGGUAACCGAUGGGGAUGCGUUCCAUUAGGCAGUUGGCGGGGUAACGGCCCACCAAACCUUCGAUGGAUAGGGGUUCUGAGAGGAAGGUCCCCCACAUUGGAACUGAGACACGGUCCAAACUCCUACGGGAGGCAGCAGUGAGGAAUAUUGGUCAAUGGACGCAAGUCUGAACCAGCCAAGUAGCGUGAAGGAUGACUGCCCUCUGGGUUGUAAACUUCUUUUAUACGGGAAUAACAUGAGGUACGCGUACCUUAUUGCAUGUACCGUUAUGAAUAAGCAU
Molecule: ribosomal RNA, 495 nt
Filed under: Bacteroides sp. canine oral taxon 183
Lineage: Bacteria; Pseudomonadati; Bacteroidota; Bacteroidia; Bacteroidales; Bacteroidaceae
Description: bacterial SSU rRNA
Rfam family: Bacterial small subunit ribosomal RNA
Source: RNAcentral